This 956-nucleotide ribosomal RNA is filed under the name Escherichia coli. RNAcentral describes it as "partial 23S ribosomal RNA". It matches the Rfam family "Bacterial large subunit ribosomal RNA", at positions 1920 to 2870 of the family's 2925-position model. Lineage: Bacteria; Pseudomonadati; Pseudomonadota; Gammaproteobacteria; Enterobacterales; Enterobacteriaceae. The record is from RNAcentral.
CCGGUAAACGGCGGCCGUAACUAUAACGGUCCUAAGGUAGCGAAAUUCCUUGUCGGGUAAGUUCCGACCUGCACGAAUGGCGUAAUGAUGGCCAGGCUGUCUCCACCCGAGACUCAGUGAAAUUGAACUCGCUGUGAAGAUGCAGUGUACCCGCGGCAAGACGGAAAGACCCCGUGAACCUUUACUAUAGCUUGACACUGAACAUUGAGCCUUGAUGUGUAGGAUAGGUGGGAGGCUUAGAAGUGUGGACGCCAGUCUGCAUGGAGCCGACCUUGAAAUACCACCCUUUAAUGUUUGAUGUUCUAACGUUGACCCGUAAUCCGGGUUGCGGACAGUGUCUGGUGGGUAGUUUGACUGGGGCGGUCUCCUCCUAAAGAGUAACGGAGGAGCACGAAGGUUGGCUAAUCCUGGUCGGACAUCAGGAGGUUAGUGCAAUGGCAUAAGCCAGCUUGACUGCGAGCGUGACGGCGCGAGCAGGUGCGAAAGCAGGUCAUAGUGAUCCGGUGGUUCUGAAUGGAAGGGCCAUCGCUCAACGGAUAAAAGGUACUCCGGGGAUAACAGGCUGAUACCGCCCAAGAGUUCAUAUCGACGGCGGUGUUUGGCACCUCGAUGUCGGCUCAUCACAUCCUGGGGCUGAAGUAGGUCCCAAGGGUAUGGCUGUUCGCCAUUUAAAGUGGUACGCGAGCUGGGUUUAGAACGUCGUGAGACAGUUCGGUCCCUAUCUGCCGUGGGCGCUGGAGAACUGAGGGGGGCUGCUCCUAGUACGAGAGGACCGGAGUGGACGCAUCACUGGUGUUCGGGUUGUCAUGCCAAUGGCACUGCCCGGUAGCUAAAUGCGGAAGAGAUAAGUGCUGAAAGCAUCUAAGCACGAAACUUGCCCCGAGAUGAGUUCUCCCUGACUCCUUGAGAGUCCUGAAGGAACGUUGAAGACGACGACGUUGAUAGGCCGGGUGUGU